This 481-nucleotide ribosomal RNA is filed under the name uncultured bacterium. Its description in RNAcentral is "partial 16S ribosomal RNA". It matches the Rfam family "Bacterial small subunit ribosomal RNA", at positions 28 to 507 of the family's 1533-position model. The record is from RNAcentral.
GACGAACGUUGGCGGCGUGCUUAAUACAUGCAAGUCCACUGAAGCAGUGGUAGCAAUAUCGCUGUGGAGGUGGCGCACGGGUGAGUAACACGCAGGUAAUCUGCCUUCAGGUCUGGCAUAACUCCGGGAAACCGGGGCUAAUAGCAGAUGAUGCAGCGGCUCGACAUCGAGACAGUUGUUAAAGCUAUGGCGCCUGAAGAUGAGCCUGCGUCUGAUUAGCUAGUUGGCGGGGUAACGGCCCACCAAGGCAACGAUCAGUAGCUGGUCUGAGAGGAUGAUCAGCCACACUGGAACUGAGACACGGUCCAGACUCCUACGGGAGGCAGCAGUAAGGAAUAUUGCUCAAUGGGAGAAAUCCUGAAGCAGCAACGCCGCGUGAGGGACGAAGGGCUUUUGCUUGUAAACCUCUGUAGUGAGAGAAAAAAAUCCCAAUCUUUGGGACAUGAUGGUAUCUCAAAAGUAAGCCCCGGCUAACUACGUG